AACGAACGCUGGCGGCAGGCUUAACACAUGCAAGUCGAACGGAUCCUUCGGGAUCAGUGGCGGACGGGUGAGUAACGCGUGGGAACCUACCCUGGGGUGGGGAAUAACCUUGGGAAACCGAGGCUAAUACCGCAUACGCCCUAUUGGGAAAGGACUAUGUUGCCCUGGGAUGGGCCCGCGUCCGAUUAGCUAGUUGGUGGGGUAAGUGGCCUACCAAGGCUGCGAUCGGUAGCUGGUCUGAGAGGAUGAUCAGCCACACUGGGACUGAGACACGGCCCAGACUCCUACGGGAGGCAGCAGUGGGGAAUAUUGGACAAUGGGGGCAACCCUGAUCCAGCCAUGCCGCGUGAGUGAAGAAGGCCUUAGGGUUGUAAAGCUCUUUCACCCGUGACGAUGAUGACGGUAGCGGGAGAAGAAGCCCCGGCUAAUUCCGUGCCAGCAGCCGCGGUAAU
This 452-nucleotide ribosomal RNA is filed under the name uncultured bacterium. RNAcentral's name for it is "bacterial SSU rRNA". It matches the Rfam family "Bacterial small subunit ribosomal RNA", at positions 29 to 524 of the family's 1533-position model. The record is from RNAcentral.